Molecule: ribosomal RNA, 487 nt
Filed under: uncultured bacterium
Lineage: Bacteria
Description: partial 16S ribosomal RNA
Rfam family: Bacterial small subunit ribosomal RNA
Source: RNAcentral
GAUUGAACGCUGGCGGCAUGCCUUCCCCCUGCAAGUCGAACGGCAGCACGGGUGCUUGCCCCUGGUGGCGAGUGGCGAACGGGUGAGUAAUACAUCGGAACAUGUCCUGUAGUGGGGGAUAGCCCGGCGAAAGCCGGAUUAAUACCGCAUACGAUCUACGGAUGAAAGCGGGGGACCUUCGGGCCUCGCGCUAUAGGGUUGGCCGAUGGCUGAUUAGCUAGUUGGUGGGGUAAAGGCCUACCAAGGCGACGAUCAGUAGCUGGUCUGAGAGGACGACCAGCCACACUGGGACUGAGACACGGCCCAGACUCCUACGGGAGGCAGCAGUGGGGAAUUUUGGACAAUGGGCGAAAGCCUGAUCCAGCAAUGCCGCGUGUGUGAAGAAGGCCUUCGGGUUGUAAAGCACUUUUGUCCGGAAAGAAAUCCUUGGCCCUAAUACGGUCGGGGGAUGACGGUACCGGAAGAAUAAGCACCGGCUAACUACGUG